RNAcentral lists this ribosomal RNA (429 nucleotides) under Verrucomicrobiota bacterium. RNAcentral describes it as "Verrucomicrobia bacterium partial 16S ribosomal RNA". It matches the Rfam family "Bacterial small subunit ribosomal RNA", at positions 355 to 776 of the family's 1533-position model. Lineage: Bacteria; Pseudomonadati; Verrucomicrobiota. The record is from RNAcentral.
UAGGGAAUCUUCCGCAAUGGACGAAAGUCUGACGGAGCAACGCCGCGCGAGUGAAGAAGGAUUUCGGUUCGUAAAUCUUUGUUGUUAGGGAAGAAAAAAUGUAUAGUAACUAUAUACAAAAGAGACGGUACCUAACCAGAAAGCCACGGCUAACUACGUGCCAGCAGCCGCGGUAAUACGUAGGUGGCAAGCGUUGUCCGGAAUUAUUGGGCGUAAAGCGCGCGCAGGUGGUUUAGAAAGUCUGAUGUGAAAGCCCACGGCUCAACCGUGGAGGGUCAUUUGAAACUAAGAAACGUGAGUGCAGGGGAGAAGAGUGGGAUUCCUAGUGUAGCGGUGAAAUGCGUAGAGAUUAGGAGAAACACCGGAGGCGAAAGCGGCUUUUUGGCCUGCAGCUGACACUGAGGCGCGAAAGCGUGGGGAGCAAACAGG